UAAGGAGUAGGUAAAAAGGAAUACCACAAAACUUUGAAUUUUGUAUUAAGAGUUCAACCCUCUUCUCUUUAA
Molecule: transfer RNA, 72 nt
Filed under: Ophiarachnella gorgonia
Lineage: Eukaryota; Metazoa; Echinodermata; Ophiuroidea; Amphilepidida; Ophiodermatidae
Description: tRNA-Gln
Rfam family: tRNA
About the family: Transfer RNA (tRNA) molecules are approximately 80 nucleotides in length. Their secondary structure includes four short double-helical elements and three loops (D, anti-codon, and T loops). Further hydrogen bonds mediate the characteristic L-shaped molecular structure. tRNAs have two regions of fundamental functional importance: the anti-codon, which is responsible for specific mRNA codon recognition, and the 3' end, to which the tRNAs corresponding amino acid is attached (by aminoacyl-tRNA synthetases). tRNAs cope with the degeneracy of the genetic code in two manners: having more than one tRNA (with a specific anti-codon) for a particular amino acid; and 'wobble' base-pairing, i.e. permitting non-standard base-pairing at the 3rd anti-codon position.
Source: RNAcentral